UGUAUAAUGGGUCAGCGACUUAUAUUCUGUAGCAAGGUUAACCGAAUAGGGGAGCCGAAGGGAAACCGAGUCUUAACUGGGCGUUAAGUUGCAGGGUAUAGACCCGAAACCCGGUGAUCUAGCCAUGGGCAGGUUGAAGGUUGGGUAACACUAACUGGAGGACCGAACCGACUAAUGUUGAAAAAUUAGCGGAUGACUUGUGGCUGGGGGUGAAAGGCCAAUCAAACCGGGAGAUAGCUGGUUCUCCCCGAAAGCUAUUUAGGUAGCGCCUCGUGAAUUCAUCUCCGGGGGUAGAGCACUGUUUCGGCAAGGGGGUCAUCCCGACUUACCAACCCGAUGCAAACUGCGAAUACCGGAGAAUGUUAUCACGGGAGACACACGGCGGGUGCUAACGUCCGUCGUGAAGAGGGAAACAACCCAGACCGUCAGCUAAGGUCCCAAAGUCAUGGUUAAGUGGGAAACGAUGUGGGAAGGCCCAGACAGCCAGGAUGUUGGCUUAGAAGCAGCCAUCAUUUAAAGAAAGCGUAAUAGCUCACUGGUCGAGUCGGCCUGCGCGGAAGAUGUAACGGGGCUAAACCAUGCACCGAAGCUGCGGCAGCGACACUAUGUGUUGUUGGGUAGGGGAGCGUUCUGUAAGCCUGUGAAGGUGGCCUGUGAGGGUUGCUGGAGGUAUCAGAAGUGCGAAUGCUGACAUAAGUAACGAUAAAGCGGGUGAAAAGCCCGCUCGCCGGAAGACCAAGGGUUCCUGUCCAACGUUAAUCGGGGCAGGGUGAGUCGACCCCUAAGGCGAGGCCGAAAGGCGUAGUCGAUGGGAAACAGGUUAAUAUUCCUGUACUUGGUGUUACUGCGAAGGGGGGACGGAGAAGGCUAUGUUGGCCGGGCGACGGUUGUCCCGGUUUAAGCGUGUAGGCUGGUUUUCCAGGCAAAUCCGGAAAACCAAGGCUGAGGCGUGAUGACGAGGCACUACGGUGCUGAAGCGACAAAUGCCCUGCUUCCAGGAAAAGCCUCUAAGCAUCAGGUAACAUCAAAUCGUACCCCAAACCGACACAGGUGGUCAGGUAGAGAAUACCAAGGCGCUUGAGAGAACUCGGGUGAAGGAACUAGGCAAAAUGGUGCCGUAACUUCGGGAGAAGGCACGCUGAUAUGUAGGUGAAGCGACUUGCUCGUGGAGCUGAAAUCAGUCGAAGAUACCAGCUGGCUGCAACUGUUUAUUAAAAACACAGCACUGUGCAAACACGAAAGUGGACGUAUACGGUGUGACGCCUGCCCGGUGCCGGAAGGUUAAUUGAUGGGGUUAGCGGCAACGCGAAGCUCUUGAUCGAAGCCCCGGUAAACGGCGGCCGUAACUAUAACGGUCCUAAGGUAGCGAAAUUCCUUGUCGGGUAAGUUCCGACCUGCACGAAUGGCGUAAUGAUGGCCAGGCUGUCUCCACCCGAGACUCAGUGAAAUUGAACUCGCUGUGAAGAUGCAGUGUACCCGCGGCAAGACGGAAAGACCCCGUGAACCUUUACUAUAGCUUGACACUGAACAUUGAGCCUUGAUGUGUAGGAUAGGUGGGAGGCUUUGAAGUGUGGACGCCAGUCUGCAUGGAGCCGACCUUGAAAUACCACCCUUUAAUGUUUGAUGUUCUAACGUUGGCCCGUAAUCCGGGUUGCGGACAGUGUCUGGUGGGUAGUUUGACUGGGGCGGUCUCCUCCUAAAGAGUAACGGAGGAGCACGAAGGUUGGCUAAUCCUGGUCGGACAUCAGGAGGUUAGUGCAAUGGCAUAAGCCAGCUUGACUGCGAGCGUGACGGCGCGAGCAGGUGCGAAAGCAGGUCAUAGUGAUCCGGUGGUUCUGAAUGGAAGGGCCAUCGCUCAACGGAUAAAAGGUACUCCGGGGAUAACAGGCUGAUACCGCCCAAGAGUUCAUAUCGACGGCGGUGUUUGGCACCUCGAUGUCGGCUCAUCACAUCCUGGGGCUGAAGUAGGUCCCAAGGGUAUGGCUGUUCGCCAUUUAAAGUGGUACGCGAGCUGGGUUUAGAACGUCGUGAGACAGUUCGGUCCCUAUCUGCCGUGGGCGCUGGAGAACUGAGGGGGGCUGCUCCUAGUACGAGAGGACCGGAGUGGACGCAUCACUGGUGUUCGGGUUGUCAUGCCAAUGGCACUGCCCGGUAGCUAAAUGCGGAAGAGAUAAGUGCUGAAAGCAUCUAAGCACGAAACUUGCCCCGAGAUGAGUUCUCCCUGAGACUUAGAGUCUCCUGAAGGAACGUUGAAGACGACGACGUUGAUAGGCCGGGUGUGUAAGCGCAGCGAUGCGUUGAGCUAACCGGUACUAAUGAACCGUGAGGCUUAACCUUACAACGCCGAAG
This 2349-nucleotide ribosomal RNA is filed under the name Escherichia coli. Its description in RNAcentral is "partial 23S ribosomal RNA". It matches the Rfam family "Bacterial large subunit ribosomal RNA", at positions 609 to 2925 of the family's 2925-position model. Lineage: Bacteria; Pseudomonadati; Pseudomonadota; Gammaproteobacteria; Enterobacterales; Enterobacteriaceae. The record is from RNAcentral.